ACUUAGUGGGAAAAGGCUUUGUUGUUGUUGUUGUUGUUGGUAGAAGUUGUUACACGUAGAGACAAAUUAUAAGACUAUACUAUGAAGAGAGAGAGUUUUUGAUUUAUUUCAUAGAAAAAUGAAGGGUAAAUUACACAAAACUACCUCAACUAUGAGUCGCACCAUAAUUUUAUACCUCAUGUUUUAAACAUUGCAACGUCAUACCUUAACUUAUGAAUUCGUUGCAAUGUCAUACCUCCGUUAGUGAUUCUGUCAAAUUGGGCGUUAAGUGAUGAUUUGGCAAAUGGAGGGCUCAUAUAUUUUCUAACGUGGCAGUCCACUUGUGCCAGCCAUUAAACAAAAUUAUAAAAUAUAUCAUUUAAAAUGAUAAAAUUUUAGGGUAAAGUACAAAAAACUACCUCA
Molecule: long non-coding RNA, 402 nt
Filed under: Malus domestica (apple)
Lineage: Eukaryota; Viridiplantae; Streptophyta; Magnoliopsida; Rosales; Rosaceae
Description: long non-coding RNA (MDOM_LNC003694)
Source: RNAcentral